This 491-nucleotide ribosomal RNA is filed under the name uncultured bacterium. Its description in RNAcentral is "partial 16S ribosomal RNA". It matches the Rfam family "Bacterial small subunit ribosomal RNA", at positions 29 to 506 of the family's 1533-position model. The record is from RNAcentral.
AGUGAACGCUGGCGGUAGGCCUAACACAUGCAAGUCGAACGGCAGCACAGUAAGAGCUUGCUCUUACGGGUGGCGAGUGGCGGACGGGUGAGGAAUACAUCGGAAUCUACUUUUUCGUGGGGGAUAACGUAGGGAAACUUACGCUAAUACCGCAUACGACCUACGGGUGAAAGCAGGGGAUCUUCGGACCUUGCGCGAUUGAAUGAGCCGAUGUCGGAUUAGCUAGUUGGCGGGGUAAAGGCCCACCAAGGCGACGAUCCGUAGCUGGUCUGAGAGGAUAAUAGCCACAGCGGGAACGGAGACACGGUCCAGACCCCUAGGGGAGGAAGCGGGGGGGAAUUUUGGAAAAGGGGGGAAAGCCUGAUCAGGCCGGACCGGGGGGGGGAAGAAGGCCUUCGGGUUGUAAAGCCCUUUUUUUGGGAAAAAAAAGCAGCGGGUUAAUACCCCGCUGUUCUGACGGAACCCAAAAAAAAAGCACCGGCAAACUUGGG